UCGAUCGUUGAUGCAUGGUUGAUUUUUUGUGUGUCACACAUGUACACAUUUAAGUUUUGAACUUGGAGAUUUGCGCCAUAAAAGACGGAGUUUACCCGUCUAUUCAUGUUUGUCUGUGAACUGAACGUGGGUUGUGGAUCUGAGAGUGGAACAUUUACAGACGGAACAUGUAAAUCAGGUUGGUACUGAUUGACGUAUCCUGAUUAAUGCCAGGAAUACAGUCUGACAAGAGUUUUCAGCUUCAUGUGAACGAAUAUGAAGAGGAAGGAAAAUGUGUGUUUGUGGAUCUCAUUGCAUUAUUCGAUUCAAAUAAGUGUUUUGUGUCUGUUAAAAAAACAACGGAUUAUGUUGUGAAUGCUCAGUUUGAAAUAUCUGUUUAUCUUUGGAUGUAAUAAGAUACAUGUAAUCUAUAGCAUGUGAAAUGAUAUUCCGAAGAAAUGUGAACAUGGUGAAAUGUAUUUGAAAUGAACAGAACAGUGUAUUAUGGGUUGAUAUACAUGACGUACAUAUGUAUAUUACACAUGAAUUUUAAGUGAAGUGUAGGCAGAAUAUUAUUGAUGCAACACACAAGUUGUUAAGUAUGCAGAGUUUGUUGGCAACACUUUUGAUAUUGAUGUUUACAUUAAAUAUAAAGAGAUGGAUAACAAUACAUUGUUAUCACUUA
Molecule: long non-coding RNA, 664 nt
Organism: Mytilus californianus (California mussel)
Lineage: Eukaryota; Metazoa; Mollusca; Bivalvia; Mytilida; Mytilidae
Exons: 2
Source: RefSeq, a predicted model, not a curated record